This 77-nucleotide transfer RNA is filed under the name Bacilli bacterium. RNAcentral's name for it is "tRNA-Ile". It matches the Rfam family "tRNA". From Rfam's summary of the family: Transfer RNA (tRNA) molecules are approximately 80 nucleotides in length. Their secondary structure includes four short double-helical elements and three loops (D, anti-codon, and T loops). The record is from RNAcentral. RNAcentral also lists the same sequence under 1 other name. Lineage: Bacteria; Bacillati; Bacillota; Bacilli.
GGACUUAUAGCUCAGUUGGUUAGAGCGUCCGUCUGAUAAGCGGGAGGUCGAUGGUUCAAGUCCAUCUAGGUCCACCA